GUUAUUCCUAACUGUGCAAAGGUAGCAUAAUCAUUAGUCUUUUAAUUGAAGGCUGGUAUGAAUGGUUGAAUGAAAUAUUAACUGUUUCAAAUUAAUUUAANAUUGAAAUUUAUUUUUUAGUUAAAAAGCUAAAAUUUUUUUAAAAGACGAGAAGACCCUAUAAAUCUUUAUAUUUNUUAGUUAUUAUUAANUAUUUAGAAAAGUUAAUUUUUGAUAAAGAAAGAUAUUUUAUUGGGGUGAUGUUGAAAUUUAAUAAACUUUUAAUUAUAUAANAACAUUAAUUAUUGAAUUAUNUGAUCCAUUCNNUAGUGAUUAUAAAAUUAAGUUACUUUAGGGAUAACAGCNGUAAUUUUUUUAGAGAGUUCUUAUCGAUAAAAAAGGUUGCGACCUCGAUGUUGGAUUAAGAUAUAA
Molecule: ribosomal RNA, 411 nt
Filed under: Dohrniphora commina
Lineage: Eukaryota; Metazoa; Arthropoda; Insecta; Diptera; Phoridae
Description: partial 16S ribosomal RNA
Source: RNAcentral